This 472-nucleotide ribosomal RNA is filed under the name uncultured bacterium. RNAcentral describes it as "partial 16S ribosomal RNA". It matches the Rfam family "Bacterial small subunit ribosomal RNA", at positions 28 to 507 of the family's 1533-position model. The record is from RNAcentral.
GACGAACGCUGGCGGCGUGCUUAACACAUGCAAGUCGAACGAUGAAGCCCAGCUUGCUGGGUGGAUUAGUGGCGAACGGGUGAGUAAUACGUGAGUAACCUGCCUUUAACUCUGGGAUAAGCCUUGGAAACGGGGUCUAAUACCGGAUACGACCAACCCUCGCAUGGGGUGUUGGUGGAAAGGGAUUUUGUACUGGUUUUAGAUGGGCUCACGGCCUAUCAGCUUGUUGGUGAGGUAACGGCUCACCAAGGCGACGACGGGUAGCCGGCCUGAGAGGGUGACCGGCCACACUGGGACUGAGACACGGCCCAGACUCCUACGGGAGGCAGCAGUGGGGAAUAUUGCACAAUGGGCGCAAGCCUGAUGCAGCGACGCCGCGUGAGGGAUGACGACCUUCGGGUUGUAAACCUCUUUCAGCAGGGGAGAAGCGAAAGUGACGGUACCUGCAGAAGAAGCGCCGGCUAACUACGUG